RNAcentral lists this transfer RNA (71 nucleotides) under Apistus carinatus (ocellated waspfish). RNAcentral's name for it is "tRNA-Trp". It matches the Rfam family "tRNA". Rfam says of the family: Transfer RNA (tRNA) molecules are approximately 80 nucleotides in length. The record is from RNAcentral. Lineage: Eukaryota; Metazoa; Chordata; Actinopteri; Perciformes; Apistidae.
AGAGGCUUAGGUUAACAUUAGACCAAGGGCCUUCAAAGCCCUAAGCGAGAGUGAGAAUCCCUCAGCCCCUG